AUUCCACAGUUGCUUCCUCAGAAUUGCAGUGUUGUAAGCAUAGAUAACACUCAACUGCACUCUGAUCUUGUUAACAGGAUCUUCAACCAGGCAGUGAAUAAGUUGCUCAGUUACACAAGAAACCUGUAACUGUAUAUGAGGCUUCCAAAUAAGCCAGAUUCUGCCAUUAACUGCAUUGGUGUAAUUAUAUUGAACCUUCCAACCUCUAGCAAUCUUA
RNAcentral lists this long non-coding RNA (217 nucleotides) under Nicotiana benthamiana. RNAcentral describes it as "long non-coding RNA (NBEN_LNC010113)". Lineage: Eukaryota; Viridiplantae; Streptophyta; Magnoliopsida; Solanales; Solanaceae. The record is from RNAcentral.